UGGCCCCUGGCGGCCGGGGCACUGCCGCGAUUCCGGCCUGCGGUGGGCCGACGUCAUGCUGGCCGGCGGGGAGUUCGAACGCCUGGGGCCGU
This 92-nucleotide transfer RNA is filed under the name Pigmentiphaga litoralis. RNAcentral's name for it is "tRNA-Arg". Lineage: Bacteria; Pseudomonadati; Pseudomonadota; Betaproteobacteria; Burkholderiales; Alcaligenaceae. The record is from RNAcentral.